GCUGGGAUAGCUCAGUGGUAGAGCAGUUGGCUCCGGUCCGACUGGACGCAGGUUCGAGCCCUGCUCUCAGCG
RNAcentral lists this transfer RNA (72 nucleotides) under Kofleriaceae bacterium. RNAcentral's name for it is "tRNA-Arg". It matches the Rfam family "tRNA". Rfam says of the family: Transfer RNA (tRNA) molecules are approximately 80 nucleotides in length. Lineage: Bacteria; Pseudomonadati; Myxococcota; Haliangiales; Kofleriaceae. The record is from RNAcentral.